AUAUGAGGCGGGUGUUUCCAAAUCCUGUAGAUGCGUUUUGGGGAGAAGCAAAAUCGGUGAGGGGUUAAGUGCGGCGCAUGCGCGCGCGUACGGACCCCGGAACCGGCCAACAUCUGGCAGGGGAGCCCCGUGUUUCUCCCUCAUGUGGGCCCGAUAGUCACGUGCCCUGUGCAGGCGGGCCGUGACAUUUAUGAACGUGCCUGGCCAAAGCAUACAUUAUUUUACGACGAGUUUUUGAAUAUAUCCUUUAUGAAAUGUUGUAUUUUGCUAUAACUGCUAUCUCCUUUAAAUGAUGCUAAUCGCAUGAAUUCUUAUGUUUGAUCCGGUAAGAUUAUGUAUGAUUACUUACUGAGCCGUGUAGCUCAUAUCCAUUCAUUUACAUUUUUCUUUCAGAUCCUCACCACUGAUAGCUGUCGGAGACACUUUAAUUUGGUAUCUGGGCUUCUUUCCUUUGGGGUAAAAUAAGUAUACUUUUGUGUACAUAAACUACAUAGAAGCUCUGUAUUUGGGUACUGACCAGCAUGUUGUACUAAGAAUGCUUUCAUAUAUAAAGGUUUGGUUGGUUUGACUACCCUAUAACCCAUGUAUGAGGCUUCGUGCUAUUGUGGGCGGUAGUUGGCAAUAGCACGGCCGUGUCACGGAUCCGGAUCCGGGGCGUGACAUUCUUGUGGUAUCAGAGCAAUAGGUUAAUCAUGAGUAAAAAUUUUAAGUUUUAAUAAGGGAAUGGGUAGUUAAGUCUCAUUCGGUGAGAUUCCGCAUAAUUGGAAAGAAAGAAAAGAUUGUAUUAGUCGUAUCAUCGGUCAAUCACGAAAAUUGUUUGACACAAAUAUUUUGAUAGGUGACAAUGAGCAACAAAAAGAGAGAAGUUAGGGCUAAUACACAACCAUUCUAGGGGCAUGAUUGUGACUGGUAUGGUAUUAGAAUUCAAGACUUAAGAUUACUAAGGAUUUUGGUAUUUUGAAUCAGAAUGCUAGCAAGCCAUGGCAAAAUAAGAAUAAGCUAGUUUGGAGAUUUCUCGAUGGAGUAAUUUGUAUUUGGAUUAUGAUUAAAGUAUAUUUUGACUAAUAUUAAGUGGAGUAUUAAAGUACAUUGCGUAUUAGUAUAUAUGUGAUUUUGGAAGUUUAACUUGAUACUGAGU
Molecule: long non-coding RNA, 1138 nt
Filed under: Phoenix dactylifera (date palm)
Lineage: Eukaryota; Viridiplantae; Streptophyta; Magnoliopsida; Arecales; Arecaceae
Description: long non-coding RNA (PDAC_LNC015686)
Source: RNAcentral